AGUGACUGAGGCAGUGGAUGAGA
RNAcentral lists this microRNA (23 nucleotides) under Pristionchus pacificus. RNAcentral's name for it is "ppc-miR-2238f-3p". The record is from miRBase by way of RNAcentral. Lineage: Eukaryota; Metazoa; Nematoda; Chromadorea; Rhabditida; Neodiplogasteridae.